Molecule: transfer RNA, 90 nt
Filed under: Saliniramus fredricksonii
Lineage: Bacteria; Pseudomonadati; Pseudomonadota; Alphaproteobacteria; Hyphomicrobiales; Salinarimonadaceae
Also listed under: 3 other names
Description: Salinarimonadaceae bacterium HL-109 tRNA_Ser_GGA
Rfam family: tRNA
About the family: Transfer RNA (tRNA) molecules are approximately 80 nucleotides in length. Their secondary structure includes four short double-helical elements and three loops (D, anti-codon, and T loops).
Source: RNAcentral
GGAGGGGUGGCCGAGUGGUUUAAGGCGCACGCCUGGAACGCGUGUAUACGGGAAACCGUAUCGAGGGUUCGAAUCCCUCUCCCUCCGCCA